CUACCUUUUUUGACCUGAGAAGAUUGGAAAAGAAGGCUGGAAUUGCAGGAUGCGGAUUUGGCUUCAGUCUUUACCUUGAGGAUUGAAGCUUUAUAGGUUUAAGUGUCUGACAUGAAUGAGUGUUCUUGAAAUCAGCAGCAUCUGAGGGUCAUGGUUUAAAGCGUGACUCUAUCCCAGCUUCAGAAAUACAGGAGCAGGCACCAAAUAAUAAACAAAAAUAUGCUGUCAUCCUCAACCUCUUGUGGGAUGGAGGAGAAGUCUGACAACUUAACUUGGCUUUGCUAUCCCUCAUGGGCAAGCAUGCUUCCUUUCCUUCCUCUGAUGCAUUGCAAGCGUAAUGUGUCUUGUCCUGCUGCCAAUACCACCACAACAGAUUACAGUGCUUCUCUGAGCAGAGAUACUGUGUGGCAUCACAAGGAGUGGCAUCACUGGGAUGUGGUGGAGUGACAUAGAAAUGAGGAUGAACUGGGAGCAGAGUGGAAGAGUAGGAUCUUCUUAAACUAACUCUGGCAUCAUCCUGGUAAGCCCAGGCCUGGCAUUAAUAACUCAUAGCAUACAAACUAGAUGUGUUAUUUGUCAUUCAUUGCUUCAUCUGGUUUUCUAUUUUAUUGGUCCAUGUAGCUCAGAGUGAAAAAAAUGAGCAAUUUGUCUCUAAAUGCCAUUUACUAUACCAUGACUUAUGUCUUUGAGUUAGUUUUAACAGCUUGAUGGAGAAAGCGGUAGGAAAGCUUGAGUGAGAAAGGUAUAAAAACAGCAACACUAACAGAAGGGGAGGAACUGCUUCAGAAAAAUAAGGUACUGUGGAUGGCUGAAUCUCAAAAGGAGUCUAGACUUAUUGUCUAGCAGGAUAAAUAUGAGGAAAAACAACAUGUGAG
This is a long non-coding RNA of Numida meleagris (helmeted guineafowl), 875 nucleotides long. Lineage: Eukaryota; Metazoa; Chordata; Aves; Galliformes; Numididae. The record is from Ensembl.